Long non-coding RNA from Zalophus californianus (California sea lion), 672 nucleotides. RefSeq lists it as uncharacterized. NCBI's taxonomy places the organism in Eukaryota, Metazoa, Chordata, Mammalia, Carnivora, Otariidae. The record is from RefSeq and is a predicted model, not a curated record. The transcript is spliced from 4 exons.
AGCUCGGGCGCGCCCCCUCCGCUCUCCCCCAACCGCCGCCUCCCGCGGGGCUCCGCCGAGGUCCGGAAAAGCGGCGGCCGCGUUCACGCUGCCGCACUCCGAUCCCGACCUGGACCCCAACCCCGACCCGGACCCCGAUCCCGACCCUGACCCCGACCCGGACCCGGGGCCAGACCCCGACCCGGACCCAGACCCCGACCCGGACCCCGACCCAGAGCCGGACCCCAUUCCAGACCCGGAGGCUGACCCCCGCCCAUUCCCCGACCCCGACCCGGAACCGUGAGCCCGACCCGCACCAGGACUGCCACCCCCGCAGAUCCAGCCUGUCUUGGAAGAGACAGACAGAAGGAAGCCAGGAGGAAGGUCAGCCCAGUGCCUGUGUUGACUGUUUACCUUUGGGGGCAGGUGUGUGCUGACAAGAGGAAGCUUUGGUCCUGGAGAAGGUCUGCCUCCUGUUUCUUCUACAAGUUGCUGUAACUUCUGAGGAGCUUUGAUGGCCAGCUUUGGCUAAUGGAGGCAUUUUGCUCUUGCAGUAGGUUAAACCGCCUAUGGAUAACGUAUAGGAUGGGGUGUCCAUGUUUGUUUUGAAGUCUCAGGACUCUUAAGACAGUGGUUUCCAGAGAACUUUCCCACCCAGAAUCGCUUGCUUAAAUUUUUGUUUGAAGUACCAUC